Molecule: non-coding RNA, 264 nt
Organism: Vicia faba (fava bean)
Lineage: Eukaryota; Viridiplantae; Streptophyta; Magnoliopsida; Fabales; Fabaceae
Source: the annotation of a GenBank genome assembly
AUGGACACCAAUCUCUUUGGAAGCACAUCACAGUGGGGCGAAAUGAUCGAUGAGAUGUAUGAUCUUGAUGUACCAGGACCAUCACAUCAAGCAUCUCGUAAUCAAGCGAGUCAGGACAUACCCCAAACACCUCAAGAAAAUCAACAGAGAGGAGUGAGACAAGGGCGUUUCUUUCCCCUCUUCUUCUUUUCUUCAUUGCCUCCUUCUUCUUCUUCCCUUUCAGGUUAUUGUAAUUAUAAUCAUAAUAAGUAUAAAAAAGUGUAA